This 586-nucleotide ribosomal RNA is filed under the name uncultured bacterium. RNAcentral describes it as "partial 16S ribosomal RNA". It matches the Rfam family "Bacterial small subunit ribosomal RNA", at positions 355 to 1375 of the family's 1533-position model. The record is from RNAcentral.
UGGGGAAUUUUGGACAAUGGGCGCAAGCCUGAUCCAGCCAUGCCGCGUGCGGGAAGAAGGCCUUCGGGUUGUAAACCGCUUUUGUCAGGGAAGAAAUCUUCUGAGUUAAUACCCCGGGAGGAUGACGGUACCUGAAGAAUAAGCACCGGCUAACUACGUGCCAGCAGCCGCGGUAAUACGUAGGGUGCAAGCGUUAAUCGGAAUUACUGGGCGUAAAGCGUGCGCAGGCGGUUUUGUAAGACAGAGGUGAAAUCCCCGGGCUCAACCUGGGAACUGCCUUUGUGACUGCAAGGCUUGAGUGCGGCAGAGGGGGAUGGAAUUCCGCGUGUAGCAGUGAAAUGCGUAGAUAUGCGGAGGAACACCGAUGGCGAAGGCAAUCCCCUGGGCCUGCACUGACGCUCAUGCACGAAAGCGUGGGGAGCAAACAGGAUUAGAUACCCCUGGUAGUCCACGCCCUAAACGAUGUCAACUGGUUGUUGGGAAGGUUCCUUCUCAGUAACGUAGCUAACGCGUGAAGUUGACCGCCUGGGGAGUACGGCCGCAAGGUUGAAACUCAAAUGAAUUGACGGGGUCAUAGCUGUUUCCU